Long non-coding RNA from Pristis pectinata (smalltooth sawfish), 4640 nucleotides. RefSeq lists it as uncharacterized. The record is from RefSeq and is a predicted model, not a curated record. Lineage: Eukaryota; Metazoa; Chordata; Chondrichthyes; Rhinopristiformes; Pristidae. The transcript has 2 exons.
CCUGAAUCAUCGAGUGUGGGUCUUCAGGCUCCUGUACCUCCUCCCCGAUGGUAGUAACGAGAAGAGGGCAUGUCCCAGGUGGUGAGGGUCCUUAGUUGAUGGAUGCCGCCUUCUUGAGGUACCGCCUCUUGAAGAUGUCCUCAAUGGUGGGGAGGGUUGUGCCCGUGAUGGAGCUGGCUGAGUCUACAACCCUCUGCAGCCCCUUGCAAUCCUGUGCAUUGAAGGUGUCCUCUUGAAGAACUUUGAAAAUCAAAGUCCAGUCGUAGCUUCCUGGAGGCAGCUGCUCGUUGUGGGAUGUUUAGACUGAAUAGCAGGGAUGGAUUUCUUGAGGAAAUCUGCUUGAAGGACACUCCCCCUUCCCUCCCUCCCCACACAGAAUGAAGUGACACAGUGAAGGCUGAACACAGGAGGGGGAUAGGAGGAGGAGGACGUGGAGAUGGGUGGAGGUGCAGAGAGUGGGAGGAGAGUAGAGACUCUAGGAUGGAGAAGAGGCCCAAAUGGCCAACUUCUGUGCUCCAUCUGCAGACCCUCUUCAUAUUUAACAAGGAAUGUUCAUGAGUUUGGAAGUGGCAGGGAUAGUCAAAGAAAUCUGGAACAAUCUCCCCUAAAACACUGUAGUGGCUGGGGUGGGUGGUCAGCUGAAGCAGUGAAUCAACAAUCAGUCUGCUGGAGGAUUCAGCGGGUCCGAGCAGCAUCUGUGGGGGAAAGGAACUGUCGAUGUUUCGGGUCGAAACCCUGUACCAGGACUCAAAACUCACCGAGUUCCUCCAGCAGAUUGUUUGUUGCUCCAGAUUGCAGCGUCUGCGGUCUCCUGUGCCUCAACUGAAAAGUGAGAUCUGGAAAGUUUGUUAGUUGCGGGCACUGGGGUAAUGAACCGAGGGGAGUAGGGUGGGUAAUAUACGUAACAGCCACAAUCUCAGUGAUUGGCAAAGGGACCUCAUCCAGUUCCUGUGCUUCUAUAUUUGUGUACAUGUGCCAUGAGCUCGGUGGAGUCUCUCUAGUGUUAUGUCACAGUAGUUUUCUUCCAGCCAAGAGACCACGCCCUCACCUGAUUACUCUAGGAUGAGUCAUCUAGUCAUACAGCACAGAAUUAGACCCUUAGGCACACCAUAUCCAUGCUGACCACCAAAUACCCCACUAUGCUAAAACAAUUUACCAGCACUUAGCCUUCUUUGCUUUGGUGAUUCAAGCACUCGUCCAGAUACUGAACUUUUGAGAGAGUCUCUGCCUCCACCACCCCCUCAGUGUGUUCCAGAUUCCGACCACUACCUUCCCCCCCCCCCCCCCCCCCCCGGGUGAAACAAAUCCUUCCUCACACCCCCUCCAGACCUCUUCCUCUUUACCCAGGAGUUCUAUUCCAGGGUGAAAGGUCACUGUAUUUCUCCUUACUAGAACAGCUGCAUUCAUAUAGUGCCUUUAACAUAGUAAAAGGUCCCAGGAUGGGAUUAUCAGACAAAACCAAAUGGCAGAGCCCAUAAAGAGAUCUUGGAAGAGGUCAGCAAAGAUUAUUGAAAGGGGUAGGAUUUAAAGAGUGUUUAAAAAUGGAGAGAGAGUUUGGUAAGGCAGAGAGAAACUCCAAAGCUUAGCACCUGAGGAGAGCCACCAGUUGUGGAUCAGUCAUAUUUGGGAAUGACCAAGGGACUAGAACUAGAAAUAUGCACUGUAAUUUGGAACUCCAUGGUUGUCCGAAGGCCACCCUGGGUGUAUUCCUGGAGGUCUUAACACAUGACCUCCUUUUGCAAUAGCCCCAUUCCAAACGUGCCAUUGGUCAGUCCUCAGCUCCUGGUGUCUCCCUACAGCUGAUAGGAAAAGCAAUCAAAUUCUUUGUUAUCUAAUGAGAUUAAUCCUGGCAGAUUGUGAGACAGCAUCCCUUUCCCCAUCCCUUGUAUUUCUUUGGUGCUGAAGGGGGAUGAACUGAGCACAGGUCUCAGCACUGUUCCUAUAGCUUCCCUGGAGACUGCAGAUGCUGGAAUCUGAGCAAUAAACUAUCUGCCGGAAGAACUCAGCGGGUGGGCACGAGUCCUGAUGCGGGGUUUUUGACCCCAAAACGUUUCCCCCAACAGAUGCUGUGUAACCCUUUGAGCUCCUCCAGCAGAUUGUUGGUUGCUGCCUAUAAUCUGUCUCCCUGCUUGUUUGCUCUGGUGAUUAAUCUGGUGUUAAUUUCUAGAGAGUCCAGAACUGUCCUGGAAGUAACCCCUAAUGGAAAAUCCCUGUCACUGAGUGUGUAUGGGUCUGCUCUGGAGGUAUAGUAACUGCACAAUUUUAACUUUUCAUGCAAAGGAAUAAUGAACCUUAACUGGAGUACAGCCAAGGCAAAUUGUGUUAUGAUUGGCUGCAGGGAGUGGGUGCGGAACCUGUCCGACAAGGUCCAAGAGGCUUUUUGUUUUACUCUCUCUCCUCAUCUGUCUCCACCUAGCACCCAAAGCUGCUGUGUCCCAACUCCCCCCACCCUCCCUCACCUGAAACCAUCUGCCCCUCAUCCCUGGUUCCACCAGCCCCUGUCUCACCCCUCCCCCUCGCCUCCUUAUACUGGCUAUCUCCCCCCUAGGCUCUCAGUCCUGAGGCAGGGUCUCGGCCAAAACGUCGACCAUCCUUUUGCCUCCAUACAUGCUGUUUGACCUGCCAAGUUCCUCUAGCAGUUUGGUUUUUUUCUGCUCCAGAUUCCAGCCUCUGCAGUCCCUUCUGUGUCUGCCCUGCAGGUACGUUGGGUUCUAAGUCAGACCAGGCCAGCAGGUUCUGCAGGUAAGAUAAGAUAAGAUAAGAUCUUUAUUAGUCACAUGUACAUCGAAACACACAGUGAAAUGCAUCUUUUGCGUAGUGAUUUUGGGGGCAGCCCGCAAGUGUCGCCACACUUCCAGCACUGACACAGCAUGCCCACAACUUCCUAACCCGUACGCCUUUGGAAUGUGGGAGGAAACCGGAGCACCCGGAGGAAACCCACGCAGACACGGGGAGAACGUACAAACUCCUUACAGACAGCGGCGGAUUUGAACCCGGGUCGCUGGCGCUGUAGAGUGUUAUGCUAACCACUAUGCUACCGUGCCUGCCACAGUGCAGGGACAUCAUGGGAUAACUUCACCUCCCCAUCUCCUACUCACGCACACAUCCUGAUUUGGACAUGGAGUGUUGUUUGUUUAUAUUAGAACAUAAAGAAGAGAAGCAAGAGAAACAGGAUAAGGGUAAUCAGCCCCUCAAGUCUGCUCAGUAAGACCACAACUGAUGCAAUCUUGGCCUCAACCUCAAUGUUACAUCAAUCCUAAAGAAGGGUCUCGACCCAAAACGUCGACUGUCCAUUUCCCUCCACAGAUGCUGCCUGACCCGCUGAGUUCCUCCAGCAUUUUGUGUGUUGCUCCAGAUUUCCAACAUCUGCAGCCUCUUGUGUCUCCAUUUUGCUGCUCCACUGUGAAGCCUCCUCGAGGUAUGCCUACCCUGAAGAAGUUUUCCUCCUUUCUUUGACGGGAGUUCUGUGAGGCCCUCCCUCACUGCUCCCCCUCUGUGAUCUCUACUGCUCUCUGGCUCUUUGACUAUGUGGUCACCCAGACUGGCUACCACAGCUAUGUGUCCUUCCUGGGCACUUGUUUCUGCUGCCAGCUUGUGCCAAGUGGUUUACCUUAUUACUCAGACCAGUGGUAAAAAUUCUCAGUGUGACACCAUCGUAAGAAUAUCAUCACCUUAAAGACUUUGAAUGGGCAACCACUUGGUCAGACAAUAAAUACUGCUCUUGAUAUCAACGUCCAUUUAUGAACAUUUAGGAAUUUAUCAGAGCCAUUUCUUUUCAUCCAUGUAAGAUUAUUCUUCCUAUGGAUGCCAAAUGAAUCACGUAUGGUUCAAGUUUUGGGGAUUAAUCUUGGAUAGAUGUCGUCGCUUUGAGGUGAGAGUGGGAGGAUUUGUAACUCUAAGGGUAGGACUGGGGAAGGUUUGAAAAUCUGAGAGUCCAGUCUCACGUCACUCAAACACUCCGCUAGUCGUCGCUUAGGUUGAAUUUGAUGCCUGUCUCCAGAUUGCCUGGCUGGAAUUCCAAAGCCUCCCACCUACCUUUCCCUAUCGUGACUAAAAUCAGGACCAACAUAUUGCCCAGGAUGUGUAAUUGAGUGUGAGACUCAAGCAUAAGCAUUGACUGUGAUUGGGAACCCAGAUAAAAUGACAGCAUGCAAUAUGGGCCAAGAGUUACAGCUGAUUUUGCUAUGGCUGUCACGAUGGUCAUUAAAAAUACAUCAGUCCUGAUGAAGGGUCUCAACCCCAAACGUCGACUGUCCAUUUCCCUCCACAGAUGCUGCCCGACCCGCUGAGUUCCUCCAGCAUCUUGUGUGUGUUUUCCCACCCUUUCAAGGCUGACCCAUUCGGCCCUUAACUACGACACCACAUUAUGAAGUUGCUUUGCGUUUGAAUUCUCUCUGAAUGGGUUAAGUGACAGUGUACGAAUGAGAAGGUUUGCAAGGAUUUUUAGUUAGUUUUACACAGAUAUUUUAUCUCAAUACUGGUACGACCAAUAUUUUCAAAUCAGUUGUAACAGUGUUAAUUUAGAAUGUGUCUGUAUACAUUGUGUUAAGCGUGAGAAGUCUUUUGAUAUUUGCCCUGUUGGUCAGUAAUGUACUGUUCAUUUAUCUCGUUAACAAAAUAAACACAUUAUUUUCUAGCAA